Molecule: non-coding RNA, 166 nt
Organism: Pelobates cultripes (western spadefoot toad)
Lineage: Eukaryota; Metazoa; Chordata; Amphibia; Anura; Pelobatidae
Source: the annotation of a GenBank genome assembly
GGGUGGAACUUCCACAGGGACCACAAUGGUAUAAACGAUAUAUACAAUCACAAAUAAAAUUGUGGUCCCUGAGGAAGUUCCGCCCAGGAAUCCUGAGGAUUUGUUAUUAUUGAUUUGUGAUUGUAUAUAUCUUUUAUACCAUUGUGGUCCCUGAGGAAGUUCCGCC